This 507-nucleotide ribosomal RNA is filed under the name uncultured bacterium. Its description in RNAcentral is "partial 16S ribosomal RNA". It matches the Rfam family "Bacterial small subunit ribosomal RNA", at positions 28 to 507 of the family's 1533-position model. The record is from RNAcentral.
GACGAACGCUGGCGGCGUGCCUAAUACAUGCAAGUCGAACGCAUUUUCUUUCACCGUAGCUUGCUACACCGACAGAAAAUGAGUGGCGAACGGGUGAGUAACACGUGGGUAACCUGCCCAUCAGCGGGGGAUAACACUUGGAAACAGGUGCUAAUACCGCAUAAUUCCAUUUACCGCAUGGUAGAUGGAUGAAAGGCGCUUUUGCGUCACUGAUGGAUGGGCCCGCGGUGCAUUAGCUAGUUGGUGGGGUAACGGCCUACCAAGGCUGCGAUGCAUAGCCGACCUGAGAGGGUGAUCGGCCACACUGGGACUGAGACACGGCCCAGACUCCUACGGGAGGCAGCAGUAGGGAAUCUUCGGCAAUGGACACAAGUCUGACCGAGCAACGCCGCGUGAGUGAAGAAGGGUUUCGGAUCGUAAAACUCUGUUGUUAGAGAAGAACAAGGAUGAGAGUGGAAAGUUCAUCCCUUGACGGUAUCUAACCAGAAAGCCACGGCUAACUACGUG